AUUGAACGCUGGCGGCAUGCUUUACACAUGCAAGUCGAACGGCAGCGCGGGCUUCGGCCUGGCGGCGAGUGGCGAACGGGUGAGUAAUACAUCGGAACGUGCCCAGUAGUGGGGGAUAGCUCGGCGAAAGCCGGAUUAAUACCGCAUACGACCUGAGGGUGAAAGCGGGGGAUCUUCGGACCUCGCGCUAUUGGAGCGGCCGAUGGCAGAUUAGCUAGUUGGUGGGGUAAAGGCCUACCAAGGCGACGAUCUGCAGCUGGUCUGAGAGGACGACCAGCCACACUGGGACUGAGACACGGCCCAGACUCCUACGGGAGGCAGCAGUGGGGAAUUUUGGACAAUGGGCGAAAGCCUGAUCCAGCAAUGCCGCGUGUGUGAUGAAGGCCUUCGGGUUGUAAAGCACUUUUGGCGGGAACGAAAAGGACUGUGCCAAUACCACGGUUCGAUGACGGUACCCGCAGAAUAAGCACCGGCUAACUACGU
Molecule: ribosomal RNA, 483 nt
Filed under: uncultured bacterium
Lineage: Bacteria
Description: partial 16S ribosomal RNA
Rfam family: Bacterial small subunit ribosomal RNA
Source: RNAcentral